AGUGGCAAACGGGCGAGUAACGCGUACUUAACCUACCUAGAAGUUGAGAAUAACUUUAGAGAUAGAGCUAAUUCUCAAUAGUACCUGACUGCUGAAAUGCUAUCAGGUUAAAGAUUUAUCGCUUCUGGAGGGGGGUGCGUCCUAUCAGGUAGUUGGUGAGGUAACUGCUCACCAAGCCUAUGACGGGUAGCCGGUCUGAGAGGAUGUCCGGCCGCAAUGGGACUGAGACACGGCCCAUACUCCUACGGGAGGCAGCAGUGGGGAAUUUUGCGCAAUGGACGAAAGUCUGACGCAGCAAUCUCGCGUGAAGGAUGAAGCAUUAAGGUGUGUAAACUUCUUUUUUGGUGGAAGACGAAUGACGGUACACCAAGAAUAAGGGACGGCUAACUACGUGCCAGCAGCCGCGGUAAUACGUAGGUCCCAAGUGUUAUCCGGAAUUACUGGGCGUAAAGAGUCUGUAGCCUGAUAUAUAAGUCUGUUUUCAAAUACCGCAGCUCAACUGCGGACAGGGAAUAGAUACUGUAUAUCUUGAGAUUGUCAGGGGUUAGUGGAAUUUCCGGUGGAGCGGUGAAAUGCGUUGAUAUCGGAAGGAACGCCAAAAGCGAAAGCAGCUAACUAUAACAAAUCUGACGGUCAGAGACGAAAGCUUGGGUAGCAAAUGGGAUUAGAUACCCCGGUAGUCCAAGCUGUAAAUUUUGCUUGCUAGGUGUCUUGACCCGCUCUGCGGGUUGGAGUGCCGUAAUCUAACGAGUUAAGCAAGCCGCCUGGGUAGUA
This 774-nucleotide ribosomal RNA is filed under the name uncultured organism. RNAcentral's name for it is "bacterial SSU rRNA". It matches the Rfam family "Bacterial small subunit ribosomal RNA", at positions 94 to 882 of the family's 1533-position model. The record is from RNAcentral.